RNAcentral lists this ribosomal RNA (433 nucleotides) under uncultured bacterium. Its description in RNAcentral is "partial 16S ribosomal RNA". It matches the Rfam family "Bacterial small subunit ribosomal RNA", at positions 29 to 507 of the family's 1533-position model. The record is from RNAcentral.
AACGAACGCUGGCGGCAUGCCUAACACAUGCAAGUCGAACGAGACCUUCGGGUCUAGUGGCGCACGGGUGCGUAACGCGUGGGAACCUGCCCUUAGGUUCGGAAUAACUCCCCGAAAGGGGUGCUAAUACCGGAUAAUGUCUUCGGACCAAAGAUUUAUCGCCUUUGGAUGGGCCCGCGUUGGAUUAGCUAGUUGGUAGGGUAAAAGCCUACCAAGGCGACGAUCCAUAGCUGGUCUGAGAGGAUGAUCAGCCACACUGGGACUGAGACACGGCCCAGACUCCUACGGGACGCAGCAGUGGUGAAUAUUGGACAAGGGGCGAAGGCCUGAUCAAGCAAUGCCGCGUGAGAGAUAAAGGCCUUAGGGUUGUAAAGCUCUUUUACCCGUGAUGAUAAUGACAGUACCGGGAGAAUAAGCUCCGGCUAACUCCGUG